This 423-nucleotide ribosomal RNA is filed under the name uncultured bacterium. RNAcentral describes it as "partial 16S ribosomal RNA". It matches the Rfam family "Bacterial small subunit ribosomal RNA", at positions 360 to 774 of the family's 1533-position model. The record is from RNAcentral.
AAUCUUCCGCAAUGGACGAAAGUCGGACGGAGCGAUGCCGCGUGAGCGAUGAAGGUCUUCGGAGCGUAAAACUCUGUCGUUAGGGAGGAACAAGUAUCGGCGUAAUAUGCCGGUACAUUGACGGUACCUAACCAGAAAGCCCCGGCUAACUACGUGCCAGCAGCCGCGGUAAUACGAAGGGGGCAAGCGUUGUCCGGAAUUAUUGGGCGUAAAGAGCACGUAGGCGGUUAUUUAAGUCUGAUGUGAAAUCUUGUGGCUUAACCACAAGCGGUCAUUGGAAACUGGAUAACUUGAGUACAGAAGAGGAGAGUGGAAUUCCACGUGUAGCGGUGAAAUGCGUAGAGAUGUGGAGGAACACCAGUGGCGAAGGCGGCUCUCUGGUCUGUAACUGACGCUGAGGUGCGAAAGCGUGGGUAGCGAACA